This 629-nucleotide long non-coding RNA is filed under the name Cyanistes caeruleus (blue tit). RNAcentral's name for it is "lncRNA (ENSCCEG00000020631.1)". Lineage: Eukaryota; Metazoa; Chordata; Aves; Passeriformes; Paridae. The record is from RNAcentral.
CAGAAUGUUUGGGUCUGUUCUGUUAGCCAGUAAUAAAUUCUAGGUCUUUGCUGGAUGCUCUUAAUUUAUUUGGUCUAUGAGCACCACAGACUUAUUUUGAUGCCUUAUGGAACUUUGUCCUGAACUAGGGUUUUGUGAUUUACAGCUUUCUCUGCAGCUUGGGGAAUACAAAGGAUGCAAAGAAAGUACAUGGAGAAACUCGGUGGUUUUUCUGUGUCCUCUUAUUUCUCUUGUUCAUUCCUCACAGAUGGAAUUUCAGAGUUGAAAAAGUGACUGUGGCAAGUCAGAAGGUCUUAAGGAACAGUAUGGCUCAGAUCAGCUGUUUGCUGGAGGUUGUCAGAGCUACUGGAGGUGCUGGAUGUUUCUGUAAACACCUCAAUCCAAGCACCCCCAUGGUUAGACUUGAGGCCAGCUUGCUGCUGACUCCUGCCUCUGCCAGAAGGGCUCAGACUGGAGAAUACUGAACAUUUCACAGAUGGGGUUAAGCAUGGACAAGUCACUCCUGUGCCCAUCCUUACCAGUCCCUUCAGGAGAUGUGUUUGUCUGGAGCUGCUGGAAAUCAAGCAUUCCCCUGUAUGUAACAUUUCAGAGCCAUUCCAAAGGCUGCUGGAAUGCAAGAGACUUCCAGA